Molecule: ribosomal RNA, 640 nt
Filed under: uncultured Basidiomycota
Lineage: Eukaryota; Fungi; Basidiomycota
Description: eukaryotic LSU rRNA
Rfam family: 5.8S ribosomal RNA (bases 195-348)
Source: RNAcentral
UCCGUAGGUGAACCUGCGGAAGGAUCAUUAGUGAAAUAACCUGGGACUUGACGUCCCAAACCAUCUCACAUCCACACACCUUUGUGCACUGUUGAAUGGGCCCGAUAAAUAUUUAUAUAUUUUUUCAGGCCUAUUCUAUUACCUUAAAAACAUCUUAUGUAUGUAAGGAAAGUGUUAUCGAAAAUAAUAAUAAAAACUUUCAACAACGGAUCUCUUGGCUCUCGCAUCGAUGAAGAACGCAGCGAAAUGCGAUAAGUAAUGUGAAUUGCAGAAUUCAGUGAAUCAUCGAAUCUUUGAACGCACCUUGCGCUCCUUGGUAUUCCUUGGAGCAUGCCUGUUUGAGUAUCAUGAAAUCUUCAAGAUCAAGUCUUUUGUUAAUUCAAUUGGUUUGACUUUGGUAUUGGAGGUCUUUGCAGCUUCACACCUGCUCCUCUUUGUGCAUUAGCUGGAUCUCAGUGUUAUGCUUGGUUCCACUCAGCGUGAUAAGUUAUCUAUCGCUGAGGACACUGUAAAAAGGUGGCCAAGGUAAAUGCAGAUGAACCGCUUCUAAUAGUCCAUUAACUUGGACAAUAUUUUUAUGAUCUGAUCUCAAAUCAGGUAGGACUACCCGCUGAACUUAAGCAUAUCAAUAAGCGGAGGA